RNAcentral lists this ribosomal RNA (383 nucleotides) under uncultured eukaryote. Its description in RNAcentral is "partial 18S ribosomal RNA". It matches the Rfam family "Eukaryotic small subunit ribosomal RNA", at positions 592 to 976 of the family's 1831-position model. The record is from RNAcentral.
CAAUAGCGUAUAUUAAAGUUGUUGCAGUUAAAAAGCUCGUAGUUGGAUUUCUGGUGGGAGCGAUCGGUCUGGCGCUUAGCGCGAGUACUUGCAUCGUCUCCGGCCAUCCUUGGGGAGAGUCUGUCUGGCAUUAAGUUGUCGGGCAGAGGAUCCUCAUCGUUUACUGUGAAAAAAUUAGAGUGUUCAAAGCAGGCUUAUGCCGUUGUAUAUAUUAGCAUGGAAUAAUAAGAUAGGACUUUGGUACUAUUUUGUUGGUUUGCGCACCAAAGUAAUGAUUAAUAGGGACAGUUGGGGGUAUUCGUAUUCCGUUGUCAGAGGUGAAAUUCUUGGAUUUACGGAAGACGAACUACUGCGAAAGCAUUUACCAAGGAUGUUUUCAUUAA